This is a non-coding RNA of Rhopilema esculentum, 4528 nucleotides long. The record is from RefSeq and is a predicted model, not a curated record. Lineage: Eukaryota; Metazoa; Cnidaria; Scyphozoa; Rhizostomeae; Rhizostomatidae.
UUCAGCCUAUGUUGUACCGUUUAUCUGCACUGCCAUAAGCGAGGUAUUUUUGUCAACCAAUUCUGUUGACCCACACGUGUGGGUUUUCUUGUGAAGGAGGCUAUACCAAAAGUAAGUACAAAAUCACGUGUCGUGCUACAACAUCUUGUAAGGAUCUUAUCUUAUGUGUCAAAACGAGUAACAGCCAUGUCUAAUGCUCAGGAAAAAACAGUGAAUAAAAGGAAACGGAGCAAAAUUUCUGUUGAGCGGCAAAUGUACGCAAGAAAAGUGAGAGGUCUAUCCGACCGGGCAUGUAUAUUUAACUUUUUUAGUAGGUACUUGGGUCUUGGGCCUAAUAUUCGUGGGGGCGGGGCCCAGGGGGAAGGGUUUGCUGAAAAGGUGACUGUUUUAAUUUUUUUCGAAAAUCUGAUGCUAGAUUGUUUUGAUUUGUUCUUAAAUUGAUAAGGUAAUAGGGUGUAAUCUCUUUAAAAAAUAAUCGUAUCUAACCAUAUUUAUAUCUUCUCAUCAAAAUGUUAUUUGGGAAGUCUGAAAAUGUUGGAGAUUUUCAAAAUUAUUGUCUCAUAAGUUGUUCUUUGUCAAAUUCCUCUCCCACCCUAAGUCAGGCACACGAGGACAUUUCAAAGAACUUUAGAGGAUGUCUCAUAUACAUAUGGGUUCUUAUUAUGGAAUCUUAUUAUGGAAGAACAUCCUCUGUGGUCUCACAUGGAAGAACACACAUUUCUGCUGUCAUAUGUGACUCACCAUACUGUCAUAUGUGACUCACCAUACUGUUAGGGUCAACCAAGGGUGGGGUCUAUGUAAAUUGCACACUGGAUAUAAGCUAGAUGGUGAAUGAUGAAAAUGUGCACAAGGUUUCAUAGCCAAAUGCUUAUGCGCAAACAAACAAGCUGCUUGAUAAGAAUUGUUAUGAAAACAAGCAGAUUGUAUGUUGUAUUAAGCAUUUACUUCCAUCAAUUUGCUUGCAUUAUCGUUAAAAAACUGCAGGCCCCACAACAGAAAAUAAUGAUCAUUUAAGAGUCAUGCAUAUGCACUCUGCCAAAGACCAGGAACAAACCUAUUUCAACUUAUAUCCCAAAACUUUACUUUGUCUUUGUUUUGCAACUGUAUGCCGAGAAAAUUUUGAAGUCCACAUUUCAGCAAUUUCUUACCAAGGUUAUCAAUAAUGAAGAUGAGAAAGAAUCAUGAAAUACUCAAACUAAUGUUUUUAUUUAUGCAGUAGUUGGAAACUUUAGGCCACCCCUGCAUUUUUGAAGAAAAAUGACCAUGCCAACAGUCAAUGAAAGCUGCUAGUAAAUAGACAUAGCCAUUGCAUCCAUAGAUUCUUGUUUGCUUGUAAUGUUAAUACUAUACUUUGUUAUUUGGUAGGUUUAGUUUCAAGCAAUAAUCACACUUUUAUUAAAACUAUUGAAUUUUCAGAUUGAUUCAUGGAUCAAUGACAAAAGUGACUCACCACCACCAAUUUUGUUUUUAUAUUUGCUCAAUGGACAAGUUAAUAUGAAAGGUAAAAUAAAGUAAAAAGAUUUCAUUCUUUGUUCUAGGAAGGAGACUGCACAGAGCUUGCUGUCUAUACUAACUUGACUUAAAGAACAUAAAUUUACAUUUCUACCAAUUCCAAAGUACCCUUUUGAAACUUAAUUUUAAUUCAAGUGGAUUGGAAUAUGUUUGGAAGAAAGGUGGACUCCUUAAAGAGUAAAAAUUCUGAGGAAUUAAAAUCAAAGCAAUUUUCCAAUUAAGGAUAAUGAUUAAAAUCAGAAUUAUGACAUUAUUUUUACGACUUUUAUGCUAUUGGUGCAUUUUAUUUUCAGAAUUUAAUUAAAAGUUAUAGUUACUACCACAAUGAACAUUCUUGAUGUGAUUCGGUCCGUAGUCUCUAGUUCAUUGCAAGUUUAUUGAACAACAACAAGAGCAACAAUAACAAAUAAGACAAUAAAAAUCAGGGUAGAAGUGUAACUGUAAGAUAACAAAUGUGACGUUUUUGAAAUUUUAGGAAGAUAUCAUGCAAUAUUGUGAGCUUGAAUUUAUCUUGUGUCUUUUAAAGGUGCAUGCUUUUUAUAACAAGGAUAUUCAGAAUGUUUCACAGUUUUUGUCUUUUUUGUCUCAUGCUGCUUUUGCUUAUGCCAAUGUCUUGAAUUUAUUUUGGACACUGUUGACAAUUUUUAUAUUCCGCUUGUGUUGUAAGGCCUGUAAAGGUGCACAAUUGUCACCGGCCACGCAUUUGAAAAUUUCGGCUGCUUUAGCUGAAGUGAUAAAGAUAUUGAAAAAAUUCUUUAGGACACCCAGAGCUAGUUCGGAAACUGGACGAAGCGGGAGUAAAAGAACUUGUGGACAGUUUUUUGCGUGACUCUGAAAAGACACAUGUCACCGGCACCAAAUUAAAAAAAAUCGAAAACAUUGAAGAGGACACUUUUGAUGAUUUUCUUGCUAAAAAGAAAAUCCCUAAUGCCUACCUGCGCAAUAUCAUCGUGAAUAUGACGUUAGGUAACAAUGUCGGACAGAAAGGCAUCUGGGAAAGUGAAGGCUUGAAACCAAAAUGGUGGCCAGAAAACGUCGCAUUCACUUCUCCUAAUUUCCGCGAGAGAGAUGGCAAAACUGUUAUGUCUUCCAAAGAUCUUUUGAUGGUGGGGGAUUGCCUACGAAACCAUCUUAUAAGUAUGGGUUUUAAUCCUGAAAAGAAGGAAAGGAAGGAGUCCAACAAAGAUGAGGAGACCCAUAUGCCUGAUGGUGUUAACAAGCCAGUCCCUCCCAAUGAUAAUUUUUCCAGCGAUUGUCAGGGUUCUGAGCCUGAACUUCAAAACCUUGGAUCGAGCAGAAUGCCACCCAAUUGCUCUUCUGCGCAAAGACCAGCUUUGAAAACACUGUCUGCACGUUGUAAGGGUCAUUUGCAAAGACUACACACCUUGAUAGGAUCAUGGGCUGAAUUCAAAGAGACAGCAGCUGAAAUAAAGGAGGAUGUUUUCGAUGAGCUGAUUGGGGUAAUUUUAGGAAUUGGUGAACAGGCCUACUUCAAAGACCUAAAGGAUAAGUCGAUGGAAGCCAGGUUGCAGAAUAAAGUCCCAGAUGGAUUGAUCCCAGGUGUGGCAAACGGAGACGGUAAUUGCCUAUUCAACUCGACGGCUAGGCUUUUAUCCCUGGACGAGUGUAUGGCACCUCUGAUAAGACUUGGCUCUGUGUUGUUUGCAGUGGAUCAUUACGAUCAUCUUUUUGAUGGAUUCGAAAUAAAACUGUCAAAUAUUGAUAUGGCAUCAGCAUUUCUCAGCCAAAAUUGCAGUAGCUUUACGUACGAAAGACGUCCAAAAAACAGCCCAUCUAUAGACGAGCUUCUUCACCAUGUCAUUUCUCUCGAGAUAAUGAUAACAUCAAUCAAUGGUGAAUUUUCAGGGCCCUUGCAAGUGCAUUUCAUUUCUGGGCUUAUUAACCGCCCAAUCAACAUGGACUGCGAGUUUUCAAAUCGCUUUUGCUACGCUGGCAGAGUCAAUCCAUGUCCUUGUUCGGAGCAACGAACAUACGGGAGCUCUCUGAACAUAAUGUGGACAAACUUUGCAGAUGAUGGAGAGGACAGGAUAAACCAUGUUAUUCCGGUCUACCACGUUAGAGGCUCUCGAAUGAAUAUUAACUUGUCAGUGCCAGAAUUCAAGUUGGUGAAUGAGGAAGAGCACUGUAUGGCAGACAAAGUUUUGAAAUGCAUUCAAGAGAAGAGUGCUCCAAUCUCUUGGAUUCAAUGCACUCUGUGUAGAGCUUGGUACCACAUGGUUUGCUGUGGCAUGGGUGACAAGAAUCGGGCAAAAUUUGUUUGCUGCUCGAAUGGCGUUUACUCCAGCCUUUUCACGUGGCCGAACUUUUUCGCCUCCGGACGACGACAAAAAUUGGAGCACCAAAAAGGAGUCGACAUCAAUGUUCAAGACAUUGUAGACACAUUGCGUGGUGGGCUUUCCUCGAGGUCUAUAGAGCUUUACAUCAGAGAUUGCUGGCAUUGGAUUCUGGUUGUUGCAAAUUUGGAAAAUGACUGGUAAAAUGCAUUCGAAUUCUACCUCUGUUCUAAAUACUGAUGUCAAAUUUCAAGAAAAAUUAAUGGAUAUUCAGUUUUUAUUGGCCAUCUUGUCAGAAUUAGGAGCUAUUUAACUAAGCAAAUCUUCCUUAGGUUGGUAGUCUUGGAUUCAGCUCCCAACGCCACAGGUCACGCACUGACGCUCAAAAUAGAAGAGAAGUUUCUUCGCUAUCUAAAAGCCCUGUAUGCGAAUGCUGGCUCAAAGAAUCGCCAAAUCCGGGUUCUUCGAGGAGAGGUACCAAGACAAAAUGGAGGCAUUGACUGUGGCCCAAUGGUCCUCAGCUUUAUUCGAAAAGUUGUUGAAAAUGCAAGUAUAAUUGUUUACAUCAAUUCUUUUUUAACUGGUUGCUUGGAGCAGCAACAUUGCGACCUUGAAAUGCUUUUAAACAGAUAAAUUCAAAGUAGUUUAAGAAUCCGUUUUCCUCACUAGGACCGCUAUCAUCGAAAUUUGAAUCAUUUUACAAAGAGACCAUACAAAAAGGC